GGUUAAGCGACUAAGCGUACACGGUGGAUGCCCUGGCAGUCAGAGGCGAUGAAGGGCGUGCUAAUCUGCGAUAAGCGCCGGUAAGGUGAUAUGAACCGUUAUAACCGGCGAUACCCGAAUGGGGAAACCCAGUGUGAUUCGUCACACUAUCAUUAACUGAAUCCAUAGGUUAAUGAGGCGAACCGGGGGAACUGAAACAUCUAAGUACCCCGAGGAAAAGAAAUCAACCGAGAUUCCCCCAGUAGCGGCGAGCG
RNAcentral lists this ribosomal RNA (254 nucleotides) under Salmonella enterica. RNAcentral's name for it is "partial 23S ribosomal RNA". It matches the Rfam family "Bacterial large subunit ribosomal RNA", at positions 1 to 255 of the family's 2925-position model. RNAcentral also lists the same sequence under 1 other name. Lineage: Bacteria; Pseudomonadati; Pseudomonadota; Gammaproteobacteria; Enterobacterales; Enterobacteriaceae. The record is from RNAcentral.